CCCGCUGAACUUAAGCAUACUAAUAAGCGGAGGAAAAGAAACUAACAAGGAUUCCCCUAGUAACGGCGAGUGAAGCGGGAAGAGCUCAAGCUUAAAAUCUCCGUGCAAGUUUUGCGCGGCGAAUUGUAGUCUAUAGAGGCGUGAUCAGUGUGGGCGCUUGGGGCAAGUUCCUUGGAAGAGGACAGCAUGGAGGGUGAUACUCCCGUUCAUCCCUGAGUUGCUCGUGCGUACGAUCCGUUUUCUUUGAGUCGCGUUGUUUGGGAAUGCAGCGCAAAGUAGGUGGUAAAUUCCAUCUAAAGCUAAAUAUUGGUGCGAGACCGAUAGCGAACAAGUACCGUGAGGGAAAGAUGAAAAGAACUUUGAAAAGAGAGUUAAAGAGUACCUGAAACUGCUGAAAGGGAACCGAAUCGUUUCCAGUGUCUAUAAUCCGUGGUAUAUUUCAUUGGCGAGUGUGUGCGUGCGUGUGCUGUGGCAGCGGCUUUUUUGGCUGCGCUCGGCGUGUGUGCUGUGUGUGCUUGCUGGUGCCCUGUGCUGCGGUGGGACGUCAAGGUCAGUUCGUAUGCUGCGGGAAAUGGCCGCCGAGGAGGGUAGGGCUUACGCUUGCGUUUGUCUGUAUAUAUCUUGGUGGACGAGUAGUCGCGGUGGGACUGAGGUGCCUACAACGUGUUUUUGAGUGGGCCUGUGUCUCUGUGUGCGCCGUGUGCGGAUAGCUUGCUAUGCGUGUGUGGUUGUGUGUGGAUUGAUGUGGGUUUUAACUUGUUGCCGUUCGGGACGUUGACGAAAUGGAGCGAUUUGACCCGUCUUGAAACACGGACCAAGGAGUCUAACAUGUGUGCAAGUGUUAGGGUGUGGAAACCCCAGCGCGAAAUGAAAGUGAAGGGCAGCGUAAGUUGUCUGAGGUAGGAAAUGCUGCGGGCUUCGGUCUGCGGUGUGGCACUAUCGACCGAUCAUGAACCUUCGUGGUGAAAGAUUUGAGUUUGAGCACAUAUGUUGGUACCCGAAAGAUGGUGAACUAUGCCUGAGUAGGGUGAAGCCAGGGGAAACUCUGGUGGAAGCUCGUAGCGAUUCUGACGUGCAAAUCGAUCGUCAAACUUGGGUAUAGGGGCGAAAGACUAAUCGAACCAUCUAGUAGCUGGUUCCCUCCGAAAUUUCCCUCAGGAUAGCAGCAACUUAUUUACGAUAGUUUUAUGAGGUAAAGCGAAUGAUUAGAGGAUUCGGGGAAGAAACUUCCUCGACCUAUUCUCAAACUUUAAAUCUGUAAGACCUGCAGGUUUCUUAAUUGAACUUGUGGAUGUGAAUAUCAAGUUGCUAGUGGGCCAUACGGGGUAAGCUCGUCUGGCGAUGCGGGAUGAACCGAACGCAAAGUUAAAGUGCCAAAAUGCUCGCUCACCUAGAUACCAUAAAAGGUGUUGGUUCAUUUAGACAGCAGGACGGUGGCCAUGGAAGUCGGAAUCCGCUAAGGAGUGUGUAACAACUCACCUGCCGAAUGAACUAGCCCUGAAAAUGGAUGGCGCUAAAGCGGGCUACUUAUACUUUGCCGUUAGCGCGAUAGCAUUUAUAAUGUACGCGUUAAUGAGUAGGAGGGCGUGAAGGUCGUGAAGAAGCUCGUGGCGUGAGCCUGAGUGAAACGGCCUUUAGUGCAGAUCUUGGUGGUAGUAGCAAAUAUUCAAAUGCGAACUUUGAAGACUGAAGUGGAGAAAGGUUCCGUGUGAUCAGUAAUUGGACACGGGUGAGUCGAUCCUAAGAGAUAGGAUAAUUCCGUUUGAAAGCUGGGCUGUUUGAGGCGUGGGGUUCGUCCUUGCGUUUUGUAUGCAGCCUCGUGUAUCGAAAGGGAAUCAGGUUAAUAUUCCUGAACCGAGACGUGGAUAAUAUGUGGUAACACAACCGACCCAGGAGACGCUAGCGUGUGCCCAGGGAAGAGUUCUCUUUUCUUUUUAACAAGCAUAUCCUACCUUGGAAACGGAUUAUCCGGCGAUAAGGAGGAUGCCUUGGCAAAGCACUUUACUUUUUGAAGUGUCCUGCGCGCCCACGACAGCCCUUGAAAAUCCUGGCUAGAGAUUUAUUCGCACCCUCGUUCGUACUCAUAACCGCAUCAGGUCUCCCAAGGUUAGCAGCCUCUAGUU
Molecule: non-coding RNA, 2123 nt
Filed under: Phytophthora infestans T30-4
Lineage: Eukaryota; Oomycota; Peronosporomycetes; Peronosporales; Peronosporaceae
Description: Eukaryotic large subunit ribosomal RNA
Rfam family: Eukaryotic large subunit ribosomal RNA
Source: Rfam by way of RNAcentral